CUCUGUAGAAUAAUCUGUAAAUGUAUUUAACUCCUGCUCUUGGUGCACUUUCUGAAGAAACAAGAAAAUCAGGUUUUCAAAACAUGAUUUUCACGUGAACAUUUAUUUCUCUUCACUGUGGGAUAACUUCCUGGGUUCUGUUUCUACCAGCUUUGUGAAAUGGAAGGAAUCAUCACAAGAGAAUCUCUAUUAAGAGUCUGUCCUGAAUCCUACCCUCAAGAGGACAGUGUGACUUCUGACUAUUACCAAAGCUCUCUUUAGGCAACUUUUUUGCGUUGGUAGAAAAAUUGGGAUUAAAUGAUACCCUGAGGAAAACUAGCUUUUGGUUAUCACUCUGUCAUGGUGCUGCCUUUCACUGGCUGAUAAAUGCUGAAGUGUUAAUUGAUGUCUGGACUUAAAGAAAUCUCACCAGUAAAAAGUUCUGCUGCAUCUCCUGGCCACUGAACUCCCACUGUCUGCACCAAGUACAGGUAGGAAAAAUUUCAUCUGUUGAAUUACACAUCAGGAAAUUUCUAGUGAAAGAGGUGGAGGUUGUUGGAGGUGAGAAGGUGAGUGUUAAUCACCUAAACCGUCCUGUGGAAAAGUGGCCUAUUGUAGUUUGUGAGUCAGGGUUUUCAUGUAAGGUGCAGAACAAACCUUCUGUAGUUUUGAGUAAAUUUCACCUGGGGUUUAGGGUAUUAUGUAGCAUAGCUCACUGCUGGGAGAACCAAGAGGAGAGGGCAAAAUAGUCAGUGGUGCAGGAGGCUGUACAGCUACAGGAGUUUUAAUGGUUUGUUGUGAGGAAGAGGGUGUGGGAGAGGGCUUAUGGGUCUCCACAUGUCUCCAAAUUGCUUCAAAGAGAAAGGAAAUAAUUUGUUUCUACUGCUUUUGGGGCAGAAUAAAGAAUAAUGGAAUUGAACUGCAGCAAGUAAGAUUUAGGCAAGACAUUUGGGGGAAAAUUUCAGUUGUAAAAAUAGUUAUGUCCUAGGUUAGAUUGCUUGGGGAGAUCCUAGAGUCUGUCAGUGCACUACUUACAAGCCAACUAACAGGCAUUUUCCAGGGGUAAUUUAAGCAGAGCAGGCUCCACUUUGGAUUAUGAAGAUGAAUUAGCUCACUUCUGCAGGUCCACCUUUCUUUUCUGUGGUACAAGUUGAUUCCAAUCAUGAAAUAGAUAGGGUUUUGCUUCUGAACCGGCUGUUUUAAGACAACAGUCAAGUGCUAUCUCUCUCCUGUCCACUGCAAAGGAUGAAGACAAGAGGAGAGACAGGUUAAUCUUGCUUUAUUUUCAGCAGUUGUUCUUUGUCGUAGAAAGGCUUUUCCUUCUAAGAAAAGUCUGUUUCUUUUGCUAUCAAGUUCGUUGCUGCUGACUACAAAUUACAGCACUUUAUUUUCUUUGUAUGGUUUUCUCUUUGCUUUGAUUGCAACUGCAGACUGUUCAGUGGAGAUGCUGAACUAUCUUGUUCACUUUCCUGUGUAGGAUAUAAUGAAGUCUUUGUUAAGUUUUAACAUUUCGUAAAUUCUGCAGAACUAUCUACAAGAUUAAAAUUGUGGACAUACCUAAGUGCCUCAGUAAACCACUGCCAUGCUUGAGGACAGUAACCCAUCACAUUUAACAUUAACAUUGAGUUCAUUAGAAUAUAGGGCUAAUGCAUUAAAAAAUGGAGCUUUAUAAUCCUUACUGGAGUUAAUGAAUUUGUAAUAUAUUUAUUGUGCUUGGUAGGGAAGAUAGGAAGUUUUUUGAAGACAUGAUCUUUUAACUGUGUCUCUCUGCUGAACCAUUGAUAUGUCAGCAGUUGGGUCUGAACUUGUCUGUAUUUGAAACCCAGUGAAAGAUUGCCAGAGCUGUUAGCUUUUAUGUUUAUUACUGUUGUUCUUCAAAUAGUUUUAUGUUUUUUUGUUUUUUUUUCCAUUUGGUUGUAUCGUGUAUCUCCAUAUAACUUAAUAUGAAAUAAUCAUCUCUGUUCAUUUUUCUUACAGUAGUAGGUUAGUUUUUGGGUUCUUCUAAAAUUAUUUCCAUAUGAAUCAGUGGAGUAGAAUGAUUCUCCUAUUAUUUUAAAUAUACUAGACAAGUACUCUGUGUUUGGUCUUUAGUGAGCCUUCUGCAUAUCUGUUGAAAAGCCAAAGUGCACUGAAGAUUAUGGAUCAGAAACUAUUGAGAGAAGUUGAACAUGUUUCUUUCAGAUUAAAAUACUUUUUCUGUUAUGUCUUUUGCCUCCAAAUAAACUUGACACAAAUGAACUUUUGGAAUUCAGUAAAACUGAUGUUAUCUAUCCUCAUUUUGAACUCAAUGAACAUUUAACCAAAGUCAUUUUGAUGGAUGACCAGAUCUCUUUGGAUUUCUUGAGGUCAGCAUGGCUCU
RNAcentral lists this long non-coding RNA (2338 nucleotides) under Gallus gallus (chicken). Lineage: Eukaryota; Metazoa; Chordata; Aves; Galliformes; Phasianidae. The record is from RNAcentral.